GAUGAACGCUAGCGGGAGGCUUAACACAUGCAAGUCGAGGGGCAGCAUAGGGUAGCAAUACUCUGAUGGCGACCGGCAAACGGGUGAGUAACGCGUAUGCAACCUACCUGUACAGGGGGAUAACCCGGAGAAAUUCGGACUUAAUAUCCCGUAAUAAUAUCCGGAAGGCAUCUUUGGAUAUUUAAAGUUUCGACGGUACGGGAUGGGCAUGCGUAACAUUAGCUGGUUGGUAAGGUAACGGCUUACCAAGGCUAUGAUGUUUAGGGGUCCUGAGAGGGUGGUCCCCCACACUGGUACUGAGACACGGACCAGACUCCUACGGGAGGCAGCAGUGAGGAAUAUUGGUCAAUGGGCGCAAGCCUGAACCAGCCAUCCCGCGUGCAGGAAGACGGCCCUAUGGGUUGUAAACUGCUUUUCCAGGGAGAGAAACUUACGCACGUGUUGCGUGACUGACGGUACCCUGGGAAUAAGCAUCGGCUAACUCCGUG
Molecule: ribosomal RNA, 488 nt
Filed under: uncultured bacterium
Lineage: Bacteria
Description: bacterial SSU rRNA
Rfam family: Bacterial small subunit ribosomal RNA
Source: RNAcentral